This 497-nucleotide ribosomal RNA is filed under the name uncultured bacterium. RNAcentral describes it as "partial 16S ribosomal RNA". It matches the Rfam family "Bacterial small subunit ribosomal RNA", at positions 28 to 507 of the family's 1533-position model. The record is from RNAcentral.
GAUGAACGCUGGCGGCGUGCCUAAUACAUGCAAGUCGAGCGAACGGACGAGAAGCUUGCUUCUCUGAUGUUAGCGGCGGACGGGUGAGUAACACGUGGAUAACCUACCUAUAAGACUGAGAUAACUUCGGGAAACCGGAGCUAAUACCGGAUAAUAUUUUGAACCGCAUGGUUCAAAAGUGAAAGACGGUCUUGCUGUCACUUAUAGAUGGAUCCGCGCUGCAUUAGCUAGUUGGUAAGGUAACGGCUUACCAAGGCAACGAUGCAUAGCCGACCUGAGAGGGUGAUCGGCCACACUGGAACUGAGACACGGUCCAGACUCCUACGGGAGGCAGCAGUAGGGAAUCUUCCGCAAUGGGCGAAAGCCUGACGGAGCAACGCCGCGUGAGUGAUGAAGGUCUUCGGAUCGUAAAACUCUGUUAUUAGGGAAGAACAAAUGUGUAAGUAACUGUGCACAUCUUGACGGUACCUAAUCAGAAAGCCACGGCUAACUACGUG